This 467-nucleotide ribosomal RNA is filed under the name uncultured bacterium. RNAcentral describes it as "partial 16S ribosomal RNA". It matches the Rfam family "Bacterial small subunit ribosomal RNA", at positions 29 to 507 of the family's 1533-position model. The record is from RNAcentral.
ACGAACGCUGGCGGCGUGCUUAACCCAUGCCAGUCGCACGGAAAGGCCCUGCUUUUGUGGGGUGCUCAAGUGGCGAACGGGUGAGUAACACGUGAGUAACCUGCCCUUGACUUUGGGAUAACUUCAGGAAACUGGGGCUAAUACCGGAUAGGAGCUCCUGCUGCAUGGUGGGGGUUGGAAAGUUUCGGCGGUUGGGGAUGGACUCGCGGCUUAUCAGCUUGUUGGUGGGGUAGUGGCUUACCAAGGCUUUGACGGGUAGCCGGCCUGAGAGGGUGACCGGCCACAUUGGGACUGAGAUACGGCCCAGACUCCUACGGGAGGCAGCAGUGGGGAAUAUUGCACAAUGGGCGGAAGCCUGAUGCAGCAACGCCGCGUGCGGGAUGACGGCCUUCGGGUUGUAAACCGCUUUCGCCUGUGACGAAGCGUGAGUGACGGUAAUGGGUAAAGAAGCACCGGCUAACUACGUG